GUAGUGCGUGAUACCGGGCUCGCAGCAGAAGGUAUAGGCGAAGCUGCAGGACAAACCCACAGCAAAUAGCGGUUUCCGUUGGCUGCGGGCUCGCGUCACCCGGAGACGUGUCACUUGGUGUUGCGGAACCGAGAACAGCCUCUACAGCGACUUCGAGCUCAUCAAGACUGUGUUCCAGGGCUUCUAGAAGCAGGUGCAGUUCGUGGUGCAGGUUUCUUUGUGACUGCAGUGUAUGGUCAAUAGCGGAGAUAGUUGCGAGAAACAAGGCAGCCGCACAGCGCACGCUUAGCGGAUAUCUUUCGUCGGUCGCUGGUGCAGUGAUCGCCUGCACGAUGCUCUGAAGGACUCGCCGACGAAAGCAGGUACCCUUCAGCGCUGAGAACAGGAAGCCGCAAACAUGCUCGUUGCCCUCGUAUCCCAGGUUCAAGCGGAGAAACGCGUCCGUCAGGGACACCUGCGUCUUCGCAGUCGCUACGUGAACGUGACUUCCGGAGGCUGCGUGCACGGUGCCAACUGCUGCGCUCGCACCAACGCUCUCCCUAGUCCAGUGCUCGUCAUAGCACGAUCGCCAGGCCGUUAGUAGGCCAUCGCCGAGGCCCGCUGCUACCUGCUGUGGCGCAUCCCUGAGGAGAUGCAGCAAAGCCCCCUUCGCAACGGCGCUGGGAUGAUCUGCGCCCAUCAAACAGCGCUUAGGAGUGGUCGCUAUGGCUUCAUUCCGAACCCACAAUGUCCAAAAGAUGUAGCACAACGGACUGAGUAGACGCUCUGGAGUUAGAAUGCCUUCGAUGAGUGCAACUUGGCACAGGCGAGCAGCAGAAACCAGUGCCGAAUUCGAUUUGCCAAGCAACGACGUUUGCAGCACCUCCGCGAGACUCGGCAAGAUGGACUGAAUCGUCCCAAACAUGACGUUGCAUUCCUUUUCUGAUUCGUCUAUGGCGGCGAUGGAACAGUUCUCCCACGAUGAUGUGGUCGCAUUUUGCGAGUUGUCGCGGUCGGGUUCAGCUUGAACGCGUAUCCGGCCGCCUACGAUGGGUCGCAUGACGUUGCUGGAGCUGCUCGGGAGCGUCGCUGUUGCUGUGGACGCAGCGCCAACGGCGCGUUCGCUUUCGACAAACUCGACGAGAUGUCUCAGAAGCCGUUCCUGUAUGCCGAGGAGCAGUGACAAGCAUUGUGAACCUGAUGUGGUCUCGCUUGUGAUACAGCCAGACUGCAACAGCUUUUGCCAUAGAGGUAAUUGUUUCAGGGCGAAAUGCCCAUCGCAGCGCGAAAGCUGCAGCAGACAUUCAAAUGCACCGCUGAGUACCGUUAGCCUAGGCGUCGUCAUCUCGGCCGCUGGGCACAUCAGUGCAGCCGGGAGCGUUGCGCAGCAUGUCAGCAACCGAUCGUGCAGAUUGUUCAAGGGAAUGGCCACAUCAGGAGGUGCCUUCGGCGCGUAACGAAUGAGUCUGCCAAGUCGCUGCAAAGCAAGACCUACCACUGCCGCUGAAGGUGCGCUUGAGGUUUCGACACCAGACUCUCCAUCCGCAACGUUCUGAUGGAGCUCGACGAACGUCCACAACCACCGGACACGCUGCCAGUACGCGGCACUGCGUUGUGCUCCUGUGGCAAGAUGUUCGUUGUGAUCGUGCAACAAGCGUAGAAGACGGUUGGCCUCAUCAGCGAGUCCAUCGUUCGCUGACUGCAGUUGAAGAAUAAGGCGCACGACAGCGCUCUCCAGAGUCGACCAGAGCUGCACCUGCGCCCGCGCCUGGCCUAGCACGCGAGUACAGUUCAUCAGCGCACGCAGGAUCCAUAGGAAAACUUGUUCUGUAGCUGAGGGCAGAGCGAUUGGACAUUCGGCAGCGAGAAGGCGAAUCUCGUCGAUGAGCAGCGGCAGAUGAGGACGCAGCAGGUUGGCAUCAAGCUGCGCCAAGAUGGCGAGCAAGCCGUAAGCCUGGUCGCGCAUCGCGAGGCCUACCAAGGCCGUCGCCUCCGCGCGAAAGAGGCACACGAUUUUGUCACCAACUAGCAGGAGACGCUCCAUGAGUACCGGUAUCGGUAACGAACUGGAUACCGACAGCGCUUGCGGCAGAGCGUUCAGCAUUUGUUUCAGCCGCUGGAAGGACAAGUCCAUAGAAGCCGACGUCGCAGACGCAUGCGACACAGAGCUCACCAGCCAGGAGUGUUGCUCAUCCAGGUAACGCACGCGGAGACGGCGCCGACGCAGGGCCUGUCCAACAACCGUCCGCUCUCGGUCAGAUGCUGCGUCAGAAUCUGAGAGGUUCAGGUCGAAGCAGUCAUCGGAUGUGUCGGGGCAAGUCGGUGCGCGCUCGCGAUACACAAGCUGGCGUUGAAAAAUAUGUUUGAGCAGAACGCGCUGAGCGAGACGCUGGACGCUCGGUGACGGAUCAUCCAGCCGUGCGAGUAUAUGCGCUGCCAUCGGCGACCACGCGUGGUUGUCGAGCUGCUCAUGAUCCUGAAAAAUUGCAUCCAGCAAAACCAGAGCUUUCUGGCGAACAGCGACCGAGAUAUCGCGCAAGCGUCCGAGAAGCGUUUCGGAUACAGCGCUGGGUCUGCGCGCACGACGCAUCCACGAUACAUAGCAUGUGAGAGCGGCUUCACGGACUUUGGGUGAAACAUCCAGACAACAGGUAGACGCAAACUUGAUCAUGUCGUCAACGGAACUAGAGGCGGUUUCCAACGCAGUUUCAUUGGAUGCUGUAAAGGGUGUGCACGCACUGGUGGUGGUUCGAAAUGCAUGUGCAGUUAAAAUGCACAACGGAUUUGACG
Cyanidioschyzon merolae strain 10D is the source of this 2769-nucleotide RNA transcript. RefSeq lists it as hypothetical. The record is from RefSeq and is a predicted model, not a curated record. Lineage: Eukaryota; Rhodophyta; Bangiophyceae; Cyanidiales; Cyanidiaceae. The transcript has a single exon.